AUUGAACGCUGGCGGCAUGCUUUACACAUGCAAGUCGAACGGUAACAGGCCUUCGGGUGCUGACGAGUGGCGAACGGGUGAGUAAUGCAUCGGAACGUGCCCAAUCGUGGGGGAUAACGUAGCGAAAGUUACGCUAAUACCGCAUAAGCCCUGAGGGGGAAAUGGGGGACCGCAAGGCCUCACGCGAAUGGAGCGGCCGAUGUCAGAUUAGCUAGUUGGUGGAGUAAAGGCCCACCUAGGCGACGAUCUGUAGCGGGUCUGAGAGGAUGAUCCGCCACACUGGGACUGAGACACGGCCCAGACUCCUACGGGAGGCAGCAGUGGGGAAUUUUGGACAAUGGGCGCAAGCCUGAUCCAGCCAUGCCGCGUGCGGGACGAAGGCCUUCGGGUUGUAAACCGCUUUCAGCCGGAAAGAAAUCGCCGUUUUAAUACAGACGGUGGAUGACGGUACCGGAAGAAGAAGCACCGGCUAACUACGUG
RNAcentral lists this ribosomal RNA (480 nucleotides) under uncultured bacterium. Its description in RNAcentral is "bacterial SSU rRNA". It matches the Rfam family "Bacterial small subunit ribosomal RNA", at positions 29 to 507 of the family's 1533-position model. The record is from RNAcentral.